UCAACUCUUCCUGACAGCCUUCAACCGCCCCUCUCUCUCCCUCUCGUCUUCCUCCUCUCCCUCUCUCCAACCGUCUCUCUCUCCCUCCAUUCUUUCCGGUGGAAAUCGCCACCUCCAAGUGGUGGCAGCCUCCUCUCUCUCCUCGCCCUUCUCCUUCCCUUCCCCUUCUUUCUCUCCAUUUUUUUUGUAGGCGAGAGCAGAGGACGACUCUGAGCAGACCACCGGCAGCAGCAGUCACCGGCGAGAACAGCCUGCGCAGCAGCAGCGCCUGGAGAGGCGCACGAUAGUAGCAGCAGCGGCCAGCAGACGACGACGACCAGCAGCUUGGUGAGGCCAUGGCAAGCAGCAGCUUCAAUCGACGAGCAACAGCAUCCGGCGACCCUCUUUCCUUCUCUCCUCUUCAGCGACCAGCAGCCCUGCAAAGCCAGCUUUGAAUUCGAUCUGCAGCUCCAGCGACACCAGCGCCACCAGCAACAGCCAGCAGUCGCCGGCGAGAACUCCUGCGCCAGCCAGCAGCCCCGGCGGCCGUCUGUCUCUCCUCUCUUCUCUAUUUCCUUCUCUCCUCUUCUCAGGCGAGCAACGACCCCCUCAGCAACAGCAACCAGCAGCCAACGCCGCCAUCCUCCAGUGGAACUCCGGCCAAUAGUCUUUGGUAACGUGUAUUAGCCCAUUACUUUAGCCGCAAAAACAGAUCAGUCCUGGUAAUAUUUCCCUAUUUCGCUUCCUUUAUCAUUUUUAUUCCUUGUCUACUUGUGUGAUCUCACAUAUUUUUUUAUUAUUAUUUUUAACUUUGUUGUUCAUGUUCUAGAAAUUCUGCUUGGUUAUGAUUCGUUAUGAAUUGAAUUGAGUUCUAAUAUGAUUAGAUUGCUUAUAAUGAUCUUUCAAUGAUAAAUACUCAUUUCAAUCUAAAUCAGCUCCAAAUUUGUUUGGUUCUUCCUAUUAAUUCAGUAUAUGUUUCACUAAUUUUCGUUUUCUUGAAGAUUUCCGCAUUCCUUGCAAUAUGUUAUUUUCUUAAAAUAAUACUAAAUUAGAGUCAUUUCAUGCAUUUAACUUGGCUUUAAAAAUAUUUCAUACCAAAACUUUGUAAUUUUCUUAAAAAGUCAUUAUUCAAUCUUCCUUUAAAAUUUUGGAUUGAUUUUGACAUUGUUUAUUUGAAAAUAAAUUACAAGUACUAUCUCCUAACCUAUCGUUAGUGGGAAACUCAAAGGAACUAUGAGGUCUAGUUCCAAAUUUUUUAAACCGACGCAUCCUCGGAAGUAUCACCUACCCAUGAAUUUCAAAAAGAAUUAUGUGCAUUUAUAUGUAAAUGUUUAUGUGCCUACGUGUGAACUAAAUCUUUUAAAUCAUUUUUUAAAACAUAACUAUUUUUUUUAUAUAUAGCGACCUCAAAUCAAAAUUGUUUCUAUGGUGGAGGAGCGCGAUCAAUAAUAUCGUGGCAUCAUCCCUAUAAAGAAACAAACAUUUUUUUAAAUAAAAAUUCAUAUUCAAAACAUGCUCAAUUUUCAAAACCUUACUUUCUCACAUAUUAGCUGUUUAAUAUUUAUAAAUUUUGUUUAUAACUUAGUCUCAUGCUUAAAAUAAAUAAAACUUGAUUGUUUAUUUAUUGUCAUUACCUAGCCUUACAUGCUUAAAUUAAUAGUAUUAAUUGUUUUAUAUUUGUUAUCACUUAGUAAGAUUAAAUAAAUUAAUAAAUUAAACGACCUUGAUUGCUACUUGUACCCCACAUAGAUUGCAUGAGAUACGGCCGGGACCCACACUUGUGGACCUCGAGGGAUGCCUAACACCUUCCCCUCGAGGUAAUUUGAACCCUUACCCUAAUCUCUGGCCCGUUGACCUUAGUUAGACUUAGUUAGGUUAGAUAGGCGCCCUAACGCGCCUUAAUUUGUUAGGUGGCGACUCCAAAACUCAAAAAUCCCAAAAGAGUUGUUAGGUCGUGCACAAAACCCGUUUUCCGCAAAAAUGGGGCGCGACAGAAUGGCGACUCCGCUGGGGAUAUUAGGUUCUUACCAUUACGUGUUUCAUGCUUAUUUAUGUGGGGUUUACUUUAUAUUGUUUAUUUCAUUAUUUGCUAGGUGUUUAUCAUAUUUAGUUAUUCUUUUAUUGCCUUAUUAAUUGUAUUCUUUUUAUGUUACACCCAUUUUCCCUCUUCUUAUUUGUUUAUUACCAUGUUUCAUUCUCCCAUUUUCCUUAUUUGUUUACUACAUUUAAUCCCUUAUCCUCUUGCCUUAUUUGCGUGAUUUUUAUUUUUACACCUUUAUAUGUUUAAAUUCCUUUUAUUUAUUUAUGCUAUUUAUUUAUUAUUUUAUAAAAUGCUUAUAUGUUAUCACUUUCCAAUUUAAAUGCUAAAUAUUUAUUGCUUUGAUAACUGACAUUCCGCUCAUAUUUCCCCAAAUUGGGACCCUCUCCUUUUUUCAUUUUUCGUGAUGUUGUGCCUUUGCACCUCUCACAACUACUCCAAUUCUAUUCAAAUACCCAUUAUAGAGAGUCGGCAUAUGCGUGGACGUAACGGAUAAUUUUACUACCGCGAAACCACGAGCCUCUCGCAUAGAAUCCCUUUCAAGUCUGUGUCAAGACAACUCUUAGAAGUCCUUGUUAGGUCAUACAUGUUGCAUAAACCCUAGGUGGUUUGACCCUUGGCGUCAAUCCAUAUAAUUAGUAGCCACCCUAUUGUCUAAAGGGCCCCAACACCCAUUAGACAAAUUGCAUAUUUAUGUGUCAAUUUGAUCAUCAUAUUUUAAAUCAAGUCAUUAUGUCAAAAUGGAGGUAAAAUCUUUCUUCGACUCUAAACUUCAAAUUGGCAAAGUAUAACUUGAUUCAAUUAUGUGACCUUAUUCUAUUAACUAUUACAAUUGUCUCACUUUGAGUUUAUUGUGUCAUUCAUUUGAUAUUAUAAUUUUGGCUCACUAUAUAAUAACUCGGUUUUAUUUUUGAUUUACUUCUUUGACUAAAGGUUGUCUUGUAUUUGGAUAAUUGGCUCGACUAAGAUUCUGCAAUAUGACAAAUAUGUUCAACCUUCGAAAAAAUCACUCAUCUUCUCGUCCAACACAAAGUACCUUUUGGACCAUCUCUCCUCAUCCUAUUCCUACUCACACCCUCUCUCAACAAAGGUCUCCAACACGCCUCAAUUUUGAUGCUUCACAAUAUGAGGGAAUAGGUGACAAAGUAGAGAAGUCUAAGCUAGAUGCACUGCAGCGAAAAUGCAUGACUUGGAGAAAAAGGUGAAUGGAGAAUUAAUCACAAUACCUACUCAUGACCUAAGGAAUAAAAAUUUAUGUCUACACCCAGGAGUUGAAUUGCCGUUGGGAUUUAAAAUUCCAAAAUUCAACAUGUUCGACGGACGUGGGGAUCCAAUGGCACAUCUCAAAGAUUUUUGCAGCAGGCUAGUUGGCUUAGAAAACAAUGAACCUCUCCUAAUGAGGUUAUUUAUUCAAAGCUUAUCAGGAAUAGCCUUCACUUGGUACGUCAAACAAGACUUUGGCAAAUGGCUCGCAUGGGAAGACAUGGCUCGAGACUUUGUGGAACAAUACAAGUUUAAUAACAAGGUUGACCCUACAAUGUUAAAUUUGCUCAAAUUGAAGAAAUUAAGCCAUGAAUCUUUUGAGGAAUAUGUCAUACGAUGGAGAAUGGAAGCCUCCAAGAUACGCCACUUACCACAUGAGGAGGAGUUGGUCCAAACUCUCAUCAGAUCACUUGAGGGUAUAUACUACAAAACCCUAUUCUUUGCUGGUAUUCAAAGUUUCGAUAGUCUAAUUCGAAUUGGAAAAGAGUUAGAAUAUGGCAUUCAGUCUGGAAGAAUUGUUGAUACACAAGUUCCUUUUCAAGUCCUGAAAGACUCAUUAGAUGAAAGGAAUGAAGAUGCAUCAACCUAUAUACCUCCGAAACAAAGAAAUCAGAAUAUUGAGCAAAUUCAUGCUAUUCUUGAGCCUUCCAACCCUCAGGUAUCUCAACAUAAGGUGAGGAAACCUCGUGUCUUCACUCCCUUAACGAAAACUUUGACCGACAUUUUCCAGAGAUUAUGGGAUAAAGGACAUCUAAGACCAAUAAAUGGAUGGAUUCCCAAGCACUCUACUUCAAACUUUGAUCUAUCCAAAAAUUGUGCCUAUCAUUCAAACAUUCAAGGUCAUGACACCGAAGAAUGUGCAGCAUUGAGAAAUAAGAUUCAGAAUAUGAUUGAAAAAGGAAAAAUUAUAGUGCAACAAGGACGACAAAACAACAAUUGCAAUCCUUCUAUGGCGAAUACAUUCAUCGUUCAAGGAGACCCUACGAAGAUGUACAUUAGGCACUUGACAAGGAAGCGUAAAUUACAUCACAGAAAUUGAUAUGGACAAGACUUUUAUGAAUAAAGUUGGCUUUAUUGUUCUCAUACCUUAUGCCCAAAGCCUUCUUCAUUCCUUUCAUUUUUCCUUGUAAUUCUGAACUACGUUUGACCUGAUUUCCUUUUGGAUACGUAGGCAACCCUUGAUGUGUCCGGUCUCUAUCAAAUAAUUUUUUUAAUUUAUUUCCCAUGGUCAUUCAAAACACUUCUUUACAAAUUCAAAUCUAGACUAAUUGACAAUCCAUGAACAUAAUUGACACUUGAAUUCGAAGUCGAGCCUUAAUGUCCAAAUACAAGACAAUCAUUUUUUUUUUGUAACUUACAAUUUUUCUUUGAGUGAAGCAGGAUCAAAAUUCCCCCCACUAAUAAACUGGGGCAGAAUUUUUGAGGAAACCUCAAAAAUUUUCACAGAGAUAUUUAACAAAGUGAGUAUAUAUCUUAUACUCUAAACUGGGGCAGAAAUUUUUGAGAAAUCCUCAAAAAUUUCAUCACAACGGAGCACAGGUAUGACCAUCUCUCGCCUUUUGAAUUUACGAUUUUUUCUCUGGAUGCAUGAAUAACUUAUAUGAGCGUACUGUCAUAUUUAGGAGCUACAAUGUAAGUCAUACUAUCCUCAGACUAUUUUUAAGAGGCUAUUAUCAACUUUCUUCUACGACUGACUGAAUAUAUAUUUAAGCUCUCCCGUCUUAUUAUAAUACGAUACUUAGGCUCUUCCGCCUUACAAUAGGACGUUUAGGCUCGUCCGCCUUACAAUAUGACGUUUAGGCUCGUCCGCCUUACAAUAUGACGUUUAGGCUCGUCCGCCUUACAAUACGAUAUUUAGGCUCGUCCGCCUUACAAUACGAUAUUUAGGGUCGUCUGCCUUACAAUACGACAUUUAGGCUCGUCUUCCUUACCAUACGACAUUUAGACUCUUCCGCCUUACAAUAGGAUAUUUAGGCUCAUCUACCUUACAAUACGAUGUUUAGGCUCAUCUGCCUUACAAUACGAUGUUUAGGCUCGUUUGCCUUACAAUAGGAUGUUCAGGCUCUUCCGCCUUACAAUAGGAUAUUUAGGCUCAUCUACCUUACAAUAGGAUAUUUAGGCUCGUUUGCCUUACAAUACGAUAUUUAAGCUCGUCUGCCUUACAAUACGACAUUCAGGUUCUUUCGCCUUACAACAGGAUGUUUAGGCUCUUCCACCUUACAAUAGGAUAUUUAGGCUCGUCCGCCUUACAAUACGACAUUUAGGCUCAUCUGCCUUACAAUACGACAUUUAGGCUCUUCCGCCUUACAAUAGGAUAUUUAGGCUCAUCCGCCUUACAAUACGAUGUUUAGGCUCAUCUGCCUUACAAUACGAUGUUUAGGCUCGUCUGCCUUACAAUACGGCAUUUAGGCUCUUCCGCCUUACAAUAGGAUGUUUAGGCUUUUCCGCCUUAAAAUAUGAUGUUUAGGCUCGUCCGCAUUUAAAAGACGUUUAGACUCUCCUUGCAACCAGAUAUUUUGCUUAUAUUAUUAUAUGUUUAUACUAUGAAAUAUUUUGGAGUUUGACGUUAUUCUUCAGAGAUGAGUUUCAAUCCUUAAGAAGUCAAAGACUAUCAAGGCUUGCACUACGUACUCAAACAGAUACGCUCCUUAUCACCUCUUGUUAUUUAUUUAGAACUCACAUUUCAUCAUUAUUGUUCAUACUUUAUCUAUUUUAUAAGCUAACAUUUUAUCUAGAAUUUGCAGAUAUAAUCGAUCGCCCUUGAUCACAAUUAUCAUGCUAUCCUCUAUCACAACAAAGACUCUAUCAAUUCUUCAAACCCCGAGCUUCGCUCAAAGGCUGAUAGCCUCACUCUAUCACGCUCUUCCUGUAUCUGUCACGCUCUUCUAGCCUCUCAAUCUCUCUCACUACUCUAAUUUUAUCCAUUCAAGCCGAUAUCGUGCCUUCCGAACACCUUAGCGCUCUUUCAACUUUUAAGAGCUUCAUUUGCUCAUGAAUCUAGAACUACACACGACCUGAUUCUCGUAUAACCAGAGAUAUGUAGGCGACUUAAAAUCAAAGUCUCGGUCGUACCCUUUUUCAACUCUAUAUCGUUUCAAUUGAUCCAACUGACAUCUCUCGUCGGUCGGACAAAAUCGGCUACUAAGUCAACGUUGGUUGCCUGACAAUUCAUUCUUCAUUCUCAAUCAACCAAGGGGCAGCUGUUGACACCCAAUUUUGACCGACCUUUAACCAUUUUUAGGAUUAUAUUCGACUAAAUACGUAUUUUAAAAUUUACUUAAAGUUUUGAAGUUUUAGUCGAUUUUUCUCAAAAAUUAUAUAUUUUAGUAUCAUUUUCUUUAUAAAAUUAUUGUAAAUAUUAUUUCAAAUGUUUUAAAAUUUAGAUGAUUUUCAAUUAUACAAAUAUUUUAAUGUAUGUAGUAUUUUAAUAAAAUUAUUUAAAUUCUAGCCUAUUCUAUUCUAAAAUCUUCCAAUUCUAGCCACUUAAAUUAGAGUUUUAUUAUAAUCAUAGCCUCUCUUUCAUUUCAAUUAUAGUCAUUCUAAUUGCAAUUUUAGCCAUUCUAUAUCUUUGUCAAUCUAAUUGCAAAACAUCAUCUUUUAAUCUCAUCCAUCUAUUUUAUUAAUCGAAUUCUAACCCAGAUCUAUCUAAUCUAACGGUUGAGAUCAUUUUUUUUAACUCUCUUUUAACACCAAAAGUCCCAAAACCUAAAACUUUUUUUUUCUCCCUCAACUCUUCUUGACAGCCUCCAACCGCCCCUCUCUCUCCCUCUCGUCUUCCUCCUCUCCCUCUCUCCAGCCGUCUCUCUCUCCCUCCAUUCUUUCCGGUGGAAAUCGCCACCUCCAAGUGGUGGCAGCCUCCUCUCUCUCCUCGCCCUUCUCCUUCCCUUCCCCUUCUUUCUCUCCAUUUUUUUUGUAGGCGAGAGCAGAGGACGACUCUGAGCAGACCACCGGCAGCAGCAGUCACCGGCGAGAACAGCCUGCGCAGCAGCAGCGCCUGGAGAGGCGCACGAUAGUAGCAGCAGCGGCCAGCAGACGACGACGACCAGCAGCUUGGUGAGGCCAUGGCAAGCAGCAGCUUUAAUCGACGAGCAACAGCAUCCGGCGACCCCUCUUUCCUUCUCUCCUCUUCAGCGACCAGCAGCCCUGCAAAGCUAGCUUUGAAUUCGAUCUGCAGCUCCAGCGACACCAGCGCCACCAGCAACAGCCAGCAGUCGCCGGCGAGAACUCCUGCGCCAGCCAGCAGCCCCGGCGGCCGUCUGUCUCUCCUCUCUUCUCUAUUUCCUUCUCUCCUCUUCUCAGGCGAGCAACGACCCCCUCAGCAACAGCAACCAGCAGCCAACGCCGCCAUCCUCCAGUGGAACUCCGGCCAAUAGUCUUUGGUAACGUGUAUUAGCCCAUUACUUUAGCCGCAAAAACAGAUCAGUCCUGGUAAUAUUUCCCUAUUUCGCUUCCUUUAUCAUUUUUAUUCCUUGUCUACUUGUGUGAUCUCACAUAUUUUUUUUAUUAUUAUUUUUAACUUUGUUGUUCAUGUUCUAGAAAUUCUGCUUGGUUAUGAUUCGUUAUGAAUUGAAUUGAGUUCUAAUAUGAUUAGAUUGCUUAUAAUGAUCUUUCAAUGAUAAAUACUCAUUUCAAUCUAAAUCAGCUCCAAAUUUGUUUGGUUCUUCCUAUUAAUUCAGUAUAUGUUUCACUAAUUGUAGUUGUUGAAUAUCUUGGAUAUAGAGUAGAUUAUUCAUUAAGUCUCUGUGUAAUUGAUUGUGCACCUUAGCAAUUUUAGAGUAAGUAGUACAUUUAUUCUGAUUUAAUAAUUGAUUUCUUGAUUCCGGAACUAAUUAUGAUGAGAUUAUGUGAUUUUUUAAAAAAUAUGUGAAAGGGAUUAACUCUAAUUCUGAGAUUUUUACGUGUUUCCAUCAUGGUAAGUAUAAAUCCCUAAUCUGCAUGACAAUAUGCCUUUCCUUAUAUCAUUUUACAUUGCAUAAAUUGGUCUUCUUAAUUGUUUACUUGCUUAUCUUAAAUAAAUCAAAAUAGAUUCGUACUAGCUUUAUUUUGGUAAAAUUAUGGAUGAUUUAUGUUGAUGUAUUUUUUUGUAAUAUUUUUAUCUAAAGAAAAUUAAUCCCUCCUCCCAUUGAUAUUUGGAUUGAUUAAUUCUUACUGGUUUGUUUAUGACAACCUUAUUAUUUCCUUGUCAUAUUUAGUCGCUCAUAUUUUGGUAAAAUAAAUUAAAUCUGAUUUUAAAUUUUUUUUUAUUUUAAGGAAAAUAUUUUUAUUCCAAAUUUUUAUUCUUACUUGUUUAUAUUUGGUAAUGAAAUAUUUUUAAAAUUAUUCUGAUUUGUCUCUCUUUUAAAAUAAGGAAAAGGGAAUAUUAAUUGAUUCCUUAAAAAUAUUUCUUUUCCUUAUUUGUUUCCCCCUCUUUGGUAUAUAAAUAAGACCCCUUUUACUCAUCAACUCAUCAACUCAACAACUCAGAUACUCAUUCACUCUCAAUCAAAAAAUUCUCUCAUCACUCUCCCUUCUCUCAUUGCUCUCUUGCUACUUUAACAAUACAUUGAGAAUCCGAUAAUUAUUAAAGUGUUCUUCUUCGCUAUUUUGCUACUUUGUUCGAGUAAAAGGUGAAUCAAUUUGUUUUGCUUAACCGUUAUUUGAUUACUUUGACAGGUUUCAAACUUGAAGUUCGAGUUGAAGAUUAACUGAAGAAGGAUUUAUUUAUUUGUUUGAAUAUAUAUAUAUAUCUAUAUAUUUUUAUUUUUUCGCUAUUUUAUUUAUUCGAAUGUUGUAACAAUUGUAAUCCUAAAGAUCAUAUAAUAAAUUUAUUUGUGGGUCGUCUAGGGGAGGGGGAUUUAUAUGUUUAUUAGUUCAUUCUAAUUUUUAGAAAUCAUGCCUAUAGGUUUGUCUUUAACCACCUAGAUUUAAUAUUUGUAGGUGUUAUAAUCUAAUCAAUUUUUAAUUUGCUUGAUGCUUUCGUUAAUAAAUCUUAAAAAUAAUAACUAGAUUCCAUUAAUUUUUUUUAAAUAUAAAAAUCAAGUCCUAAUAAUAUAAUAGGUUGUUAGAUGUUAAAAUAUGUAAUAAAUUUUCAGUCGUCUUAUAACGUAGAAACUAUGCCUAAGUAUUAAUUUGUUCAUAUCAUUUACAAAAGUAUGAAUAUGUGUUACUCCUUCUUUUGAACACCUAGGAAUCAUGUCUAUAGGUUUAUAAAUAAUUUUUAAUAGAACUUGUUUGUGCAUAUUUGUGCCCUCCCCCUAAAAUUAGUUAAUAUUAUUUCAUGUGUAAUCCCAUUCGUUUUCUUGAAGAUUUCCGCAUUCCUUGCAAUAUGUUAUUUUCUUAAAAUAAUACUAAAUUAGAGUCAUUUCAUGCAUUUAACUUGGCUUUAAAAAUAUUUCAUACCAAAACUUUGUAAUUUUCUUAAAAAGUCAUUAUUCAAUCUUCCUUUAAAAUUUUGGAUUGAUUUUGACAUUGUUUAUUUGAAAAUAAAUUACAAGUACUAUCUCCUAACCUAUCGUUAGUGGGAAAGUCAAAGGAACUAUGAGGUCUAGUUCCAAAUUUUUUAAACCGACGCAUCCUCGGAAGUACCACCUACCCAUGAAUUUCAAAAAGAAUUAUGUGCAUUUAUAUGUAAAUGUUUAUGUGCCUACGUGUGAACUAAAUCUUUUAAAUCAUUUUUUAAAACAUAACUAUUUUUUUUAUAUAUACCGACCUCAAAUCAAAAUUGUUUCUAUGGUGGAGGAGCGCGAUCAAUAAUAUCGUGGCAUCAUCCCUAUAAAGAAACAAACAUUUUUUUAAAUAAAAAUUCAUAUUCAAAACUUGCUCAAUUUUCAAAACCUUACUUUCUCACAUAUUAAUUGUUUAAUAUUUAUAAAUUUUGUUUAUAACUUAGUCUCAUGCUUAAAAUAAAUAAAACUUGAUUGUUUAUUUAUUGUCAUUACCUAGCCUUGCAUGCUUAAAUUAAUAGUAUUAAUUGUUUUAUAUUUGUUAUCACUUAGUAAGAUUAAAUAAAUUAAUAAAUUAAACGACCUUGAUUGCUACUUGUACCCCACAUAGAUUGCAUGAGAUACGGCCGGGACCCACACUUGUGGACCUCGAGGGAUGCCUAACACCUUCCCCUCGAGGUAAUUUGAACCCUUACCCUAAUCUCUGGCCCGUUGACCUUAGUUAGACUUAGUUAGGUUAGAUAGGCGCCCUAACGCGCCUUAAUUUGUUAGGUGGCGACUCCAAAACUCAAAAAUCCCAAAAGAGUUGUUAGGUCGUGCACAAAACCCGUUUUCCG
Molecule: long non-coding RNA, 10538 nt
Filed under: Solanum lycopersicum (tomato)
Lineage: Eukaryota; Viridiplantae; Streptophyta; Magnoliopsida; Solanales; Solanaceae
Description: long non-coding RNA (SLYC_LNC000296)
Source: RNAcentral